Molecule: unclassified non-coding RNA, 296 nt
Filed under: plant metagenome
Description: partial contains small subunit ribosomal RNA and internal transcribed spacer 1
Rfam family: Eukaryotic small subunit ribosomal RNA (bases 1-46)
Source: RNAcentral
AAGUCGUAACAAGGUUUCCGUAGGUGAACCUGCGGAAGGAUCAUUACAAAUAAAGCUGGUAGGAAGUGGGGUCGUUGAUCUGGUAAGUCGGUACGAGCAGAACAAGUUACCGGAUGCCUUCCCCGAAAUGUCUUACAUGUGCCCCCAACAGACCUUGAAUGGCCGAUUUGACACCCCUUAGGAUUUAUUCUUACCAAUCUUAGCUAGCUUUUGGGGAUUGGCAUCAAGUUAGCCCCCAGAGGAUCCCUACUCUCUUGCAUUUAGUGAACGUCAUGAGUACUAUAUAUACUUAAAAA